GCGGGUGUGGCGGAACGGUAGACGCAGCGGACUCAAAAUCCGCCGAGGGCAACCUUAUGUCGGUUCGAGUCCGACCACCCGCACCA
RNAcentral lists this transfer RNA (86 nucleotides) under Rhodopila sp. Its description in RNAcentral is "tRNA-Leu". It matches the Rfam family "tRNA". Rfam says of the family: Transfer RNA (tRNA) molecules are approximately 80 nucleotides in length. Their secondary structure includes four short double-helical elements and three loops (D, anti-codon, and T loops). Further hydrogen bonds mediate the characteristic L-shaped molecular structure. tRNAs have two regions of fundamental functional importance: the anti-codon, which is responsible for specific mRNA codon recognition, and the 3' end, to which the tRNAs corresponding amino acid is attached (by aminoacyl-tRNA synthetases). tRNAs cope with the degeneracy of the genetic code in two manners: having more than one tRNA (with a specific anti-codon) for a particular amino acid; and 'wobble' base-pairing, i.e. permitting non-standard base-pairing at the 3rd anti-codon position. The record is from RNAcentral. Lineage: Bacteria; Pseudomonadati; Pseudomonadota; Alphaproteobacteria; Acetobacterales; Acetobacteraceae.